Molecule: transfer RNA, 72 nt
Filed under: Sus scrofa (pig)
Lineage: Eukaryota; Metazoa; Chordata; Mammalia; Artiodactyla; Suidae
Rfam family: tRNA
About the family: Transfer RNA (tRNA) molecules are approximately 80 nucleotides in length. Their secondary structure includes four short double-helical elements and three loops (D, anti-codon, and T loops).
Source: Rfam by way of RNAcentral
UCCCCGGUAGCCUAGUGGUUAAGACCCAGCAUUGUCACUGCUGUGGUAUGGGUUUGAUCCCUGACCUUGGAA